Molecule: ribosomal RNA, 439 nt
Filed under: uncultured bacterium
Lineage: Bacteria
Description: partial 16S ribosomal RNA
Rfam family: Bacterial small subunit ribosomal RNA
Source: RNAcentral
CCUACGGGCGGCAGCAGUAGGGAAUAUUGCUCAAUGGGGGAAACCCUGAAGCAGCAACGCCGCGUGGAGGAUGAAGGUUUUCGGAUUGUAAACUCCUUUUGUUAGAGAAGAUAAUGACGGUAUCUAACUAAUCAGCACCUGCAAACUCCGUGCCAGCAGCCGCGGUAAUACGGAGGGUGCAAGCGUUACUCGGAAUCACUGGGCGUAAAGAGCGCGGAGGCGGGAUAGAAAGCAAGAUGUGAAAUCCUAUGGCUUAACCAUAGAACUGCAUUUGAAACUGUUAUUCUAGAGUAUGGGAGAGGUAGGUGGAAUUCUUGGUGUAGGGGUAAAAUCGGUAGAGAACAAGAGGAAUACUCAGUGCGAAGGCGACCUGCUAGAACAUAACUGACGCGGAUGCGCGAAAGCGUGGGGAGCAAACAGGAUUAGAUACCCGGUAGUC